CAGCCGCCGCGGGAACACGAAGGGUGCAAGCGUUAAUCGGAAUUACUGGGCGUAAAGGGUGCGUAGGCGGUCAGUUAAGUCUGUCGUGAAAUCCCCGGGCUCAACCUGGGAAUGGCGAUGGAUACUGGCUGGCUAGAGUGUGUCAGAGGAUGGUGGAAUUUCCGGUGUAGCGGUGAAAUGCGUAGAGAUCGGAAGGAACAUCAGUGGCGAAGGCGGCCAUCUGGGACAACACUGACGCUCAUGCACGAAAGCGUGGGGAGCGAACAGGAUUAGAUACCCCAGUAGUCCCUGUCUCUUAUAA
RNAcentral lists this ribosomal RNA (301 nucleotides) under uncultured bacterium. RNAcentral's name for it is "partial 16S ribosomal RNA". It matches the Rfam family "Bacterial small subunit ribosomal RNA", at positions 509 to 809 of the family's 1533-position model. The record is from RNAcentral.